GCUGACGACCGGCGCACGGGUGCGUAACGCGUAUACAAUCUACCUCUUACUGAGGGAUAGCCCAGAGAAAUUUGGAUUAAUACCUCAUAGUAUGUUGAUUUGGCAUCAGAUUAACAUUAAAGGUUACGGUAAGAGAUGAGUAUGCGUUCUAUUAGCUAGUAGGUAUGGUAACGGCAUACCUAGGCAACGAUAGAUAGGGCCCCUGAGAGGGGGACCCCCCACACUGGUACUGAGACACGGACCAGACUCCUACGGGAGGCAGCAGUGAGGAAUAUUGGUCAAUGGAGGCAACUCUGAACCAGCCAUGCCGCGUGCAGGAAGACUGCCCUAUGGGUUGUAAACUGCUUUUAUACAGGAAGAAACACUCUCACGUGUGAGAGCUUGACGGUACUGUAAGAAUAAGAAUCGGCUAACUCCGUGCCAGCAGCCGCGGUAAUACGGAGGAUCCAAGCGUUAUCCGGAAUCAUUGGGUUUAAAGGGUCCGUAGGUGGAUUAGUAAGUCAGAGGUGAAAUCCUGCAGCUCAACUGUAGAACUGCCUUUGAUACUGCUAGUCUUGAGUCAUUAUGAAGUGGUUAGAAUGUGUAGUGUAGCGGUGAAAUGCAUAGAUAUUACACAGAAUACCGAUUGCGAAGGCAGAUCACUAAUAAUGUACUGACACUGAUGGACGAUAGCGUGGGGAGCGAACAGGAUUAGAUACCCUGGUAGUCCACGCCGUAAACGAUGGUCACUAGCUGUGUGGAUUUCGAUCUGCGUGGCUAAGCGAAAGUGAUAAGUGACCCACCUGGGGAGUACGUUCGCAAGAAUGAAACUCAAAGGAAUUGACGGGGGCCCGCACAAGCGGUGGAGCAUGUGGUUUAAUUCGAUGAUACGCGAGGAACCUUACCAGGGCUUAAAUGUAAGUUGCAUGAUUUAGAG
RNAcentral lists this ribosomal RNA (916 nucleotides) under uncultured bacterium. Its description in RNAcentral is "bacterial SSU rRNA". It matches the Rfam family "Bacterial small subunit ribosomal RNA", at positions 87 to 1005 of the family's 1533-position model. The record is from RNAcentral.